AAGGUAGCAUAAUAAAUUGACUUUUAAUUGAAGCCUUGAAUGAAAGGAUAAAUGAAUAAUUACUAUAUUAUAUUAUUUACAAUAAUUUUCUUAAAAGGUGAAAAUUCCUUUUUAAUAUAAUAGACGAGAAGACCCUAGGAGUUUUUUUGUUGGGGCAACAUUAUAGCAUAUAACCUAUAAAUUAAAAGUUAUAAAUCGAAAAUUUUUAAUAAUAAUUAAACUACCCUAGGGAUAACAGCAUAAAGUUUGUGACCUCGAUGUUGGAUUAGGAAUUUUAAAGUUAACAGCGUUAAAUGAUAGUUCUGUUCGAACUUAUUUACCU
Molecule: ribosomal RNA, 322 nt
Filed under: Hemiplecta cymatium
Lineage: Eukaryota; Metazoa; Mollusca; Gastropoda; Stylommatophora; Ariophantidae
Description: partial large subunit ribosomal RNA
Source: RNAcentral